CAACUCAUUGAAUAUAAUGAAGAAUUUGAUUCUGAAAACAAUAUUUGUACAUUUAUAGAAAUCUAGUGAACAUUGAAAAUACAAGAAUCACGUAGAACGUCAUGCAUGUAUCAUUAUCUAAAAUACGUAAUGACGAUUUUCGAAAGUGAA
Non-coding RNA from Caenorhabditis elegans, 150 nucleotides. Lineage: Eukaryota; Metazoa; Nematoda; Chromadorea; Rhabditida; Rhabditidae. The record is from Ensembl.